RNAcentral lists this transfer RNA (87 nucleotides) under bacterium. Its description in RNAcentral is "tRNA-Ser". It matches the Rfam family "tRNA". Rfam says of the family: Transfer RNA (tRNA) molecules are approximately 80 nucleotides in length. The record is from RNAcentral.
GGAGGCGUCGCAUAGUGGCCUAGUGCGCUCGCUUGGAAAGCGAGUAGACCUUAACCGGUCUCGGAGGUUCGAAUCCUCCCGCCUCCG